CAGGCCUGGACUCAGCUGCUGGGCCGCGAGCUGGUUGAGUUGGUCUUCAGCAGAGACUGGCAGAUCAGAGACACAGGGAUCUGCCGGCUGGCUGAGGAGCUGAGCCACAUGGUAAGCAGUCCUGGUGGCCGCUCGGCGGUGGACCUGCUGCACCACUUGGCCGACCUGCUGGCGGUGCUCUGCGCCGACCCCGUCUACAAGGUCUUCGACGGCGCUAUCAGGUGCCUGAGAGUGCUGCUGCAGCGCGUGCCAUGCUGC
Long non-coding RNA from Pollicipes pollicipes, 258 nucleotides. RefSeq lists it as uncharacterized. The record is from RefSeq and is a predicted model, not a curated record. The transcript is spliced from 3 exons. NCBI's taxonomy places the organism in Eukaryota, Metazoa, Arthropoda, Thecostraca, Pollicipedomorpha, Pollicipedidae.